CAGUAGCCACGGUAAGACGGAGGGUGCUAGCGUUGUUCGGAAUCACUGGGCGUAAAGGGCGCGUAGGCGGCCUGUUAAGUCGGAUGUGAAAGCCCGGGGCUCAACCCCGGAACUGCAUCCGAGACUGGCAGGCUUGAGACCGGGAGAGGAGGGUGGAAUAUCCAGUGUAGAGGUGAAAUUCGUAGAUAUUGGAUGGAACACCGGUGGCGAAAGCGGCUCUCUGGCCCGGAUCUGACGCUGAGGCGCGAAAGCGUGGGGAGCAAACAGGAUUAGAUACCCCCGUAGUCCCUGUCUCUUAUAC
This 301-nucleotide ribosomal RNA is filed under the name uncultured bacterium. Its description in RNAcentral is "partial 16S ribosomal RNA". It matches the Rfam family "Bacterial small subunit ribosomal RNA", at positions 509 to 807 of the family's 1533-position model. The record is from RNAcentral.